RNAcentral lists this transfer RNA (80 nucleotides) under Acidobacteriota bacterium. RNAcentral describes it as "Acidobacteria bacterium tRNA-Tyr". It matches the Rfam family "tRNA". From Rfam's summary of the family: Transfer RNA (tRNA) molecules are approximately 80 nucleotides in length. Their secondary structure includes four short double-helical elements and three loops (D, anti-codon, and T loops). Further hydrogen bonds mediate the characteristic L-shaped molecular structure. tRNAs have two regions of fundamental functional importance: the anti-codon, which is responsible for specific mRNA codon recognition, and the 3' end, to which the tRNAs corresponding amino acid is attached (by aminoacyl-tRNA synthetases). tRNAs cope with the degeneracy of the genetic code in two manners: having more than one tRNA (with a specific anti-codon) for a particular amino acid; and 'wobble' base-pairing, i.e. permitting non-standard base-pairing at the 3rd anti-codon position. The record is from RNAcentral. Lineage: Bacteria; Pseudomonadati; Acidobacteriota.
UGUGGCUGAGUAGCAAAAGCACCUGACUGUAAAUCAGGCGUCUAACGACUUCGUAGGUGCGAGUCCUACCACAUGUACCA